AGCGAACGCUGGCGGCAGGCUUAACACAUGCAAGUCGAGCGGACCUUUCGGGGUCAGCGGCGGACGGGUGAGUAACGCGUGGGAACGUGCCUUCCGGUUCGGAAUAACCCUGGGAAACAAGGGCUAAUACCGGAUACGCCCUUAUGGGGAAAGGUUUACUGCCGGAAGAUCGGCCCGCGUCUGAUUAGCUAGUUGGUGGGGUAACGGCCUACCAAGGCGACGAUCAGUAGCUGGUCUGAGAGGAUGAUCAGCCACACUGGGACUGAGACACGGCCCAGACUCCUACGGGAGGCAGCAGUGGGGAAUAUUGGACAAUGGGCGCAAGCCUGAUCCAGCCAUGCCGCGUGAGUGAUGAAGGCCUUAGGGUUGUAAAGCUCUUUUAUCCGGGACGAUAAUGACGGUACCGGAGGAAUAAGCCCCGGCUAACUUCGUG
RNAcentral lists this ribosomal RNA (433 nucleotides) under uncultured bacterium. RNAcentral's name for it is "partial 16S ribosomal RNA". It matches the Rfam family "Bacterial small subunit ribosomal RNA", at positions 29 to 507 of the family's 1533-position model. The record is from RNAcentral.